CCUACGGGUGGCAGCAGUGGGGAAUAUUGGACAAUGGGGGCAACCCUGAUCCAGCCAUGCCGCGUGUGUGAAGAAGGCCCUCGGGUUGUAAAGCACUUUCAGUGAGGAAGAACGCCUGGUGGUUAAUACCCAUCAGGAAAGACAUCACUCACAGAAGAAGCACCGGCUAACUCCGUGCCAGCAGCCGCGGUAAUACGGAGGGUGCGAGCGUUAAUCGGAAUUACUGGGCGUAAAGCGCGCGUAGGUGGCUUGAUAAGCCGGUUGUGAAAGCCCCGGGCUCAACCUGGGAACGGCAUCCGGAACUGUCAAGAUAGAGUGAAGGAGAGGAAGGUAGAAUUGCCGGUGUAGCGGUGAAAUGCGUAGAGAUCGGGAGGAAUACCAGUGGCGAAGGCGGCCUUCUGGACUGACACUGACACUGAGGUGCGAAAGCGUGGGUAGCAAACAGGAUUAGAUACCCUAGUAGUA
Molecule: ribosomal RNA, 465 nt
Filed under: Vreelandella stevensii
Lineage: Bacteria; Pseudomonadati; Pseudomonadota; Gammaproteobacteria; Oceanospirillales; Halomonadaceae
Description: partial 16S ribosomal RNA
Rfam family: Bacterial small subunit ribosomal RNA
Source: RNAcentral